RNAcentral lists this ribosomal RNA (686 nucleotides) under uncultured Vibrio sp. Its description in RNAcentral is "bacterial SSU rRNA". It matches the Rfam family "Bacterial small subunit ribosomal RNA", at positions 67 to 729 of the family's 1533-position model. The record is from RNAcentral. Lineage: Bacteria; Pseudomonadati; Pseudomonadota; Gammaproteobacteria; Vibrionales; Vibrionaceae.
CGGAACGAGUUAUCUGAACCUUCGGGGAACGAUAACGGCGUCGAGCGGCGGACGGGUGAGUAAUGCCUAGGAAAUUGCCCUGAUGUGGGGGAUAACCAUUGGAAACGAUGGCUAAUACCGCAUAAUGCCUACGGGCCAAAGAGGGGGACCUUCGGGCCUCUCGCGUCAGGAUAUGCCUAGGUGGGAUUAGCUAGUUGGUGAGGUAAGGGCUCACCAAGGCGACGAUCCCUAGCUGGUCUGAGAGGAUGAUCAGCCACACUGGAACUGAGACACGGUCCAGACUCCUACGGGAGGCAGCAGUGGGGAAUAUUGCACAAUGGGCGCAAGCCUGAUGCAGCCAUGCCGCGUGUGUGAAGAAGGCCUUCGGGUUGUAAAGCACUUUCAGUCGUGAGGAAGGUAGUGCAGUUAAUAGCUGCAUUAUUUGACGUUAGCGACAGAAGAAGCACCGGCUAACUCCGUGCCAGCAGCCGCGGUAAUACGGAGGGUGCGAGCGUUAAUCGGAAUUACUGGGCGUAAAGCGCAUGCAGGUGGUUUGUUAAGUCAGAUGUGAAAGCCCGGGGCUCAACCUCGGAAUUGCAUUUGAAACUGGCAGACUAGAGUACUGUAGAGGGGGGUAGAAUUUCAGGUGUAGCGGUGAAAUGCGUAGAGAUCUGAAAGGAAUACCGGGUGGCGAAAGGCGGGCCCCC